CUACGGGAUGCUCCAGUGAGGAAUAUUGCACAAUGGGGGAAACCCUGAUGCAGCAACGCCGCGUGGAGGAUGACGCAUUUCGGUGUGUAAACUCCUUUUAUAUGUCAAGAAAAUGACGGUAGCAUAUGAAUAAGCACCGGCUAACUCCGUGCCAGCAGCCGCGGUAAUACGGAGGGUGCAAGCGUUACUCGGAAUCACUGGGCGUAAAGGACGCGUAGGCGGGUUGUCAAGUCAGGUGUGAAAUCCUACAGCUUAACUGUAGAACUGCACUUGAAACUGGCAGCCUAGAGUAUGGGAGGGGGAGAUGGAAUUAGUAGUGUAGGGGUAAAAUCCGCAGAUAUUACUAGGAAUAUCAAAAGCGAAGGCGAUCUCCUGGAACAUUACUGACGCUAAGGCGUGAAAGCGUGGGGAGCAAACAGGAUUAGAUACCCGAGUAGUC
RNAcentral lists this ribosomal RNA (439 nucleotides) under uncultured bacterium. Its description in RNAcentral is "partial 16S ribosomal RNA". It matches the Rfam family "Bacterial small subunit ribosomal RNA", at positions 339 to 795 of the family's 1533-position model. The record is from RNAcentral.